CAUUCUCGGAUUUUGACCCCUCUCCAUCUCCCCCUCUCUCGCUAGUCUUCAGCUGCGCCUCCGAUGUCUCUCCAGUCUUGCCUAAGUCGCCGUCUCGUCUCCUUUCUCCCUCGAUCUCGCAGGUCGCGCCCUUGCCUUGCUUGAUCGGCCUUCAAUCAGCCCACUAGGUAGAUCCUGUCUCAAGUCUCGUUUGCGACGUGUGAUGGCUCCAGCCACUAACACCUCAGGAAUGGAGUUUGAGGUAUUCCUGAGUUUCAGGGGAUCAGAUACUCGAGAUAACUUUACUAGUUGCCUCUAUUAUGACAUGGUGGAGAAAGGAAUCCGUGUCUUCAAAGACGAUAAAGAGCUCUCAGUCGGUCAAAAGAUUGAGGGAGGGCUUUUGCGAGCCCUUAACGACUCUCAAAUCUAUAUCCCUAUCUUCUCCAAGGGCUUCGCUUCCAGUCCAUGGUGUCUUCGUGAGGUUGCGCAUAUGGUAGAUUGCACUUCAAAAUCAGAUGGGAAAAAGGAGAUCCUCCCUAUCUUCAUUGACGUGGAUAUAGAUGAUGUAAAACUUAAAACCAAAUUGUACAGAGCUGCCCUCUCCGAGCAUGAGAAGAAGUACGACUCACAUGAAGUAAAAACGCUGGGGAGAUGCUCUCGUUGAGGUUCCGACAAGAGUAGGUUGGAAGCUUGAAGGAAAAGGGUAAAUUUUUCACAACUUGUUUUUUAGCUAUAUUUUUAAUAUAACAUGUGAAGUAUUUAUUUUUGUAAGGUAUAACUUAAUUAGUCAAGUUAUACAUUUAAGGAUAUUGAUCGACUUUUAUAUCAUAUUCAAUCUA
Molecule: long non-coding RNA, 818 nt
Organism: Eucalyptus grandis
Lineage: Eukaryota; Viridiplantae; Streptophyta; Magnoliopsida; Myrtales; Myrtaceae
Exons: 2
Source: RefSeq, a predicted model, not a curated record